RNAcentral lists this transfer RNA (87 nucleotides) under Candidatus Colwellbacteria bacterium CG_4_9_14_0_2_um_filter_50_12. RNAcentral describes it as "tRNA-Leu". Lineage: Bacteria; Candidatus Colwelliibacteriota. The record is from RNAcentral.
GCCCGGGUGGUGGAACUGGCAGACACGCAGCGUUCAGGUCGCUGUAGCCGCAAGGCUGUGGGAGUUCAAAUCUCCCCUCGGGCACCA